This is an RNA transcript of Bolinopsis microptera, 2322 nucleotides long. It is a transcript of the gene named p21-activated protein kinase-interacting protein 1-like, with no coding region annotated. The record is from RefSeq and is a predicted model, not a curated record. NCBI's taxonomy places the organism in Eukaryota, Metazoa, Ctenophora, Tentaculata, Lobata, Bolinopsidae. The transcript has 9 exons.
AGUAGCCAUGGAGAUUGUUAUAGGAACCUACGAAGGACCGAUAAUUUCCUAUGCAGCAAAGCUUACAGACGAUAUAAACUUUGAGGCUCAAUUUGUAGACAAGUCGCACAGUGGAUGUGUUAAAAGUGUAGCCUGUAACAACAGAUAUCUUGCUACAGGGAGUUCAGAUGAGUCAAUAAGGCUGCUGGAUCUUCACAAGAGAGUGGAGUUAGGUGCGCUGAUGCAACACUCGGGAACUGUAAACUGUCUCUCUUUUCAUGGCUCACAUCUUCUUAGUGGAUCAGAUGAUGGAACUAUUUGUGUGUACCAGUGCGGAACCUGGGAGUGUUUGAAGAUAUUGAAAAGUCACACUGCUGCUGUAACUCAGUUGUCAGUCCACCCCUCUGGAGUGCUAGCAUUGUCUGUUAGUCGAGAUAAGACCCUUAAAACUUGGAGUCUGAUCACUGGUAAACCUGUCCAUACUGUCAACCUACAGACUAUACCUGACAGUGUUAUCUGGAACACAGAUGGGUCAUCCUACGCUAUCUUAUCUGAUAAAGAGAUUCUAGUGUUCCAACCUCAUUCCGGUAAACCUGUCAGAAACUACUCCUCCCCUAAACGAAUUGUUGCUUGUAAGUUCCUAUCACCAACGCUACUAGUGUACGGAGGUGAAUGUAAAGAUAUAACAGCAGUUGAGAUAGAAACUAACUCAGUACAGACAUUAACUGGUCACGUGUCUAGAGUCAAAUCAUUGGACUUCGUCAGGUCGGAUGUAAAAGACCACUAUCUCCUGAUAUCAGUUGCAAGUGACGGUGAUAUAAAGAUAUGGGCUCUUUCGCAGGACUCUCAUGAAUUGAUAGGCGGAACAACACUAAACAACAACAGACCCGUGUGUAUGUGUGUUUACACUGGGGAGAAGAAAUAUGUUAAACAGAUGACUACACCAGCACCAACACUAAAACAUCAGGUUGUGAAGAAGCCGAAAAAGAGGAUAAAACGUAAAGUACUAUUUGCAAAUAUUCACGCAAUAAGAGGAGGAAAAAGCAUUACACGUAAACUGAAACAUAAGAAGAGAAACAGAAUUAUCCCGCUAGCUUUAGAACAUUAGUAAAGUUAGUUUACUGAUCAAUUGAUGAGUCCAGAGUUGAUUAAUUGGUUAAUGAUUGGAUAAAUGAUAGUUAAUUGUUUCCUAGUUAGUAUGAAAUGUAUUACCAUAGCUAUAUUUCCCUUUUCAAUGUAUUCUAACCAAAGCUAGUGGCUGCUGUUUUUCAUAAUCUGCUAUUAUAUUAAUAGAGGUUUACUAAACCUUGCAAUACUUUGAAAUAUCUGAUAUAAUAAUAUUUGAAUUUCUAAACCGUGCCUUAUUAAGCCAAUUUUGAUGUAGUUCACUAAAUAUUACACCAGAUGUUACACCAGAUGUUACACUAGAUGUUACACCAGAUGUUACACUAGAUGUUACACUAGAUGUAAUAUUAGAUGUUACACUAUUUCUGAGGAGUUUGUUUUUAACUAUUAUAAAAAGGGGAGUGUUAUUAUCUCAUGCUAUUUGUAUUUUGUAAUUAUUUCCCUAUUUCACUGGUUGUCUACUCAGAGUCCUUACUUUAUUGCUUACAAUAAGUCUCUUGUAUUCCUUUUAAAUUGGGGUCCAGUUCUAAACGAUCUAUACUAGUGUGCUGAUCAAUUUUAAAGAGUCUUGGUUUCUGACCUUCGUGAUAUUGAUGUUAUGUGUACCAUGCACUGUUAUUUUUAAAUAUAAUAUUCGUGUAAAAUGAAAAUAACUGCAACUACUAUUACAAAGUUAGAGCUAUGGUGAAGAGUAAAGCAUCAACAGUAACACAGUUACUAGUGACAGCAUUCUCAAUGUUGAUUGUACCUGUGACACUGUUCUUUGUGGGCAAGUGGUAUUUGUUUGCUGAACUAGAGAAUUCUGAUGUUUACUCUGCUGUUAUUGCUAUACUUGCGGUACACGUUAUACUAGGGAUAUAUUGUUACGUAGCGUAUCAAGAAGUGAAGGAGGACUCCCAGUCCCCCGCUCCUGUGUCACAGCUAAAGAAAGCAGACUAGUUAUUUAGUAUUUUAUAUUGCAAUGGUAACUGCACUUACUGCACUUACUGCACUAACUGCACCUGAAUCCUGAUGUUGUUGAUCAACGAUCGUUAUUUUGUAUAAUUUAUGGAAUUUUAUCUUCAGUUUUGUAAUAAGAUUUACUUGUUAAAUGCAUUACAAUGGCAAUGUUAUGACUGCCGAACAGUUAAUAUUUUAUUACAAUUUCUUAAUAUAUCUUAAUCGAAGAAAAUGUUUACAUUUUGAUUUGAUGUAAUUGUAUUGGGUAAUUCUGUUUAA